UUAACAUUUAGAGCAGACCUUUAAAUUAACAAUUGAACACAGAACACAGCAAACUAAUCAGAUUUCGCCCUCUCCUCUUCAGCCUCAUGCGUGGAUGGCGGUUCUUAGUCUGUGCAAGUUCGUUGUUGACGCUGCUCUGACACAUAUUUGCAUUUUACGCGUGGACGCGAGUUCGGGCUGUGGACCAAGACUUGACUGUUUGGUGUCGACGCACAGAUCCAUGUGGAUCAGAACCAGAGCACGGUCGUCCCAGUCACUCUGAUCAUCUGAGGUUCUGAGAGCAAACCCGUCCAUCAGGGUUCUGGAGGCACAGAAUGGAACAGAGCUCAGAGCUGCAUGUUCUGGUGAACACCAGGCUGAUACCACGAAGCAGCUGCUGUGGAGCCUAGUUCCACUGCAGACACAGACCACACGCCUCUUCCUGUCACUGGGUGCAGACUGGUGCACAGUGUGUGUCCAGCAGAGGUCUACCACAUCUCCUCGCACAGACAUCAUCGGCCGCUCGCAGCUCACGCUCACAUCACGAACCAACAACCACAGGACGCUUUGUGUCAGGUUCCCAGGCUGCAUGCGACUCAUAGACGGCAGCGUGUGGAGGAACCAGCCUACCCCAGCUAUCUACGGGCCAGAGGCGAAUACACCCUGGACAGACCGCCAGUCCAUCACAGGGAUCCUGAGUCUCACUCUGCAGACGGCUUUAAGGUGGUGCUGCCACCAUGUGGUGAAAGGAUGAAUUACCUGUCUGUGCUUCAGCGUCGCACAGCGUUUUCUGUUGCUCACUUUACCUUGUUUAUGCACCGUUUACUGAGCUUUCUUCUGACAUGCACAACAAUAGCAUUUCCCUGAUGCAUCCAUCAGAGAUCAGCCAUGAUCAUGCAGCAGCUCUGGGCUGCUCCAUCUGCAUGAUCUCAGGGAGGUCAUGCAGAUCCCACCUCCAUUGGGCCCAGGAGGGUGUCUCUCUCCUUGUAUUAUGGCAAUGUUGUGAAGGACAACACAAGCAGCUAUAAUGUCACAUGCCCUCUCUGGACCGACCCCGAGGCCACAUAGACACUGGAACCUCGCCUUGGCCCGUGUUCACAGCUGAUUCCAUCCAUGAGGUGCAGAGAUACCUGACAGAGUGCAGUAUCACCAUGUCCCAGGAUGAGAUACUGGGUACUGGGUGACCCAAAAGAUAAUCUAAUCCAUCAUUCACAUGAUCACUUAGACUUUCACGUUAUAAUACAUCUUCACAUCUACACUUCAUCGACUAUAUCUAAAAAUAUAAAUUUAAAUUAAGAUAUGAAAUAAUACUAUAUAAAAUAAUGGCUUAAAUUAUAAUAUUGUAUAUAUCAGAUCAUCAUAGAGUUUUGCAAUGUGCCGAAACGCUUCAUGACGCCGUAAAUGCCCAUCACUUCUGUUCAGAGACCACUGGUAAAGAACCUCGGAGACUGAGCAGUUCCCUGAGGUGUCUGUGAGCUGCCUGAUCACUGUUAUCGGAUGUUUAGAUGUUUUAAUUCUUCAGGACACAUUGGUCGCGGGUUAUUAGGGAGAGUAUUUUUUACUGAAUUCAGUGAAUAUUUCUCAACGUACACAAAUUGUAUCACUUCUUUAAAAUUUCAGUAUGUUUCCAUGCGACGUUAGCUCAAUAUCAUUUCCACUACAGUAAGUUUGACGGCUCUUCUCAGUGAUCCAAACACGUUUACCGUAAACAUUGGAAGAGUCGCGCACUGAUUGGACCACAAAAAACAAACGGCGGUUACUGG
Molecule: long non-coding RNA, 1742 nt
Organism: Betta splendens (Siamese fighting fish)
Lineage: Eukaryota; Metazoa; Chordata; Actinopteri; Anabantiformes; Osphronemidae
Exons: 3
Source: RefSeq, a predicted model, not a curated record